UUGAUCUCAAAUCAGGUAGGACUACCCGCUGAACUUAAGCAUAUCAAUAAGCGGAGGAAAAGAAACUAACAAGGAUUCCCCUAGUAACUGCGAGUGAAGCGGGAAGAGCUCAAAUUUAAAAUCUGGCGUGCCUCUGGUCGUCCGAGUUGUAGUCUGGAGAAGCGCUUUCUGUGUUGGACCGUGUAUAAGUCUCUUGGAACAGGGCGUCAUAGAGGGUGAGAAUCCCGUCUYUGACACGGACUACCAAUGCUUUGUGAUGCGCUCUCAAAGAGUCGAGUUGUUUGGGAAUGCAGCUCAAAAUG
Molecule: ribosomal RNA, 302 nt
Filed under: uncultured Thelephoraceae
Lineage: Eukaryota; Fungi; Basidiomycota; Agaricomycetes; Thelephorales; Thelephoraceae
Description: eukaryotic LSU rRNA
Rfam family: Eukaryotic large subunit ribosomal RNA
Source: RNAcentral